Molecule: non-coding RNA, 74 nt
Organism: Parelaphostrongylus tenuis
Lineage: Eukaryota; Metazoa; Nematoda; Chromadorea; Rhabditida; Metastrongylidae
Source: the annotation of a GenBank genome assembly
GCGUUGGGGGUGUAAAAGAUAGAGCACGCGCCCCCUGAUUGGGCGCUAUGCGGGUUCAAAUCCCGCUCGACGCA